UAGUCAUUGUGAUGUUGGCCCGACUCACUCAGGACGAGGAGUGUUUUUUUUUUCGAUUCCUCGGGGGGUUCUGAUUGAGCCGUGCCAAUAUCUUAAUGCUCGUU
Molecule: non-coding RNA, 104 nt
Organism: Genlisea aurea
Lineage: Eukaryota; Viridiplantae; Streptophyta; Magnoliopsida; Lamiales; Lentibulariaceae
Source: Rfam